CCUCACAGUCCACCGGGGAAGGACGACGCUCAUCACACUGAUUAAAUUACGGGAGGAAAUAAUAACAAUUCAUUAAGGCUUCUACAAAUUAAUUUGAAAACCUUUCACCCCUUUGUGUUUUAAUUAGUUUAACGUCAAAUAAAACGAUGAAGGACAGAACAUGAACAAAUAAAAACAAUGAGAAUGAAAGGUGGGAAAGGAGUUAUUCUAACAGCAUGUGUUCAGACGUCACAAACAAACGGGAGGCUAAUGGUAGACAAAGUGUCGGAAACAAUGUGUGUUUAGGACAAAAAAAAGGAAAUGGAAUUUGGCGUCCAGGGAGCUGGUUAAAAUUAACAAGCAAAGCUUUAUUCUCCUUUUUAUAUCACAGGACAAAAGUCAAGCAGGGAUGGGAAUGAGGAGAUCGGGGAAAAUAUGAAGCCAAAAUCCCAUGCCGUGGAGUGAAUGCUGGAAGUCAAUGACUCAAUGCGCUCUGCUGGGAUUCCUUGGAUAGAAACAUUUUAAACUCAUUUGAAUAGUGAACUGAACUUAAUGCACUGUUUGACAACUAAGACCAAAUGUAAUGUAUGUGUGGUUGAAUUGAAAUGACUUUUUUCGUAAAGUGCCUCGAGAUGACAUUUGUUGAGAAUUCAUAAAUAAAUAAACUAAAUGGAAUUGAAUCAUUUUUGACUAAACUAAGAAAGCAGACUGCUGGCUUUUGAGUGGAGUGCUUUUUAAAGUGCUGCUUGAAGUCACUCUACUUCUGCAGCUACCCCUAGAAAACAAGCACAGCCAUCAUCAUUGCUGUGCAUUGAAGGGCUCCACAGGCACAUUCUCCUAAUUCUUGUUAAGUAAGGUUUACCGUUCAAUCACCUAAUCAUUACGUGCAUCACUGUCUGCUAAUGAAAACAUAACAUUUAAGACUAGAAUAUUACAAUAAAACUGAAUACAG
Molecule: long non-coding RNA, 931 nt
Organism: Poecilia latipinna (sailfin molly)
Lineage: Eukaryota; Metazoa; Chordata; Actinopteri; Cyprinodontiformes; Poeciliidae
Exons: 2
Source: RefSeq, a predicted model, not a curated record